Molecule: ribosomal RNA, 215 nt
Filed under: Glomeromycotina sp.
Lineage: Eukaryota; Fungi; Glomeromycota
Description: partial small subunit ribosomal RNA
Rfam family: Eukaryotic small subunit ribosomal RNA (bases 40-215)
Source: RNAcentral
GGGUCAGUGGGUUGGUCGUGCCACCGGUACGUACUGGUCUCACUGAUUCCUCCUUCCUGAAGAACCGUAAUGCCAUUAAUUUGGUGUUGCGGGGAAACAGGACUGUUACUUUGAAAAAAUUAGAGUGUUUAAAGCAAGCUAACGCUUGAAUACAUAGCAUGGAAUAAUGAAAUAGGACGAUCGAUCCUAUUUUGUUGGUUUCUAGGAUUGACGUA